This 259-nucleotide long non-coding RNA is filed under the name Setaria italica (foxtail millet). RNAcentral's name for it is "long non-coding RNA (SITA_LNC007206)". The record is from RNAcentral. Lineage: Eukaryota; Viridiplantae; Streptophyta; Magnoliopsida; Poales; Poaceae.
CUGAAAAUCACGAACUCAGAGCUCAGAAUCCGACUUUUUUUUUUCACUCACAGUACACACUCCCAGCCGGGCGGAACACGGUGCAGACAGCUCGCAUCACGUACGAAUGCAUAUACAUCGCAGUAGUAGUUACAAAAAAGAGGUACUCGCUGAGCCGGGGCACGCGUGUUCCCGCCACAAGUUUAACCACGGCGAUCGAUCGCCGCCAUGGCCGGCUUGGCUGGGGAUCUUGAAGGCCUACCUGCCGCGGAGGAGCGCC